CUCCAAUCAAGUUGUAGAAAUGUCUCAAGGAUGAUCAAUGGAAACAGGAUGGACCUGAGUUCAAUUUUGAGUCUCAUAGCAAAGCUUUCAGCUUACAUUACUAGUGGAAAACCUAACUGAAGUAAUGAAGUCAAAACUUCAAAAAGUGAUGAGCGCAGUCUGUGCAAAGAGGAAGUGCCAUGGGUAGGCCUGGGAGGUCUUAGGCCCACCCACUUGGAAGCCAGGUCCACCCACAGGGGAGCCAGUCCCAGUCAAUCAGAAUGAGUUCUUCACACAAAAGGGCUUUAUUACAGACAGAAAUACUCCUCAGAAAUACUGGAAACUGAACUCUGGAGUAAAUAGUUGAGGCAACGUGGUCGGGCCUUGGUCCUCUUGGUGUGGUUCAGGGGUUGGAGGAGAGUCAUGGUUCUUCUGGCAAGCAGCUCUCUUCCACAGCACUGAAAUGGCUA
Long non-coding RNA from Oncorhynchus tshawytscha (Chinook salmon), 449 nucleotides. The record is from Ensembl. Lineage: Eukaryota; Metazoa; Chordata; Actinopteri; Salmoniformes; Salmonidae.